AGUCAUGGUAUUAGGAGGUGGGGCCCUUGGGAGGCGAUCAGGUUGUGAAGGUGGAGCCCUCAUAAAUAGGGUUCGUGCUUUUACGAAAGAGACCCCAGAGAGCUCCCUCACCCCUUCUGCCAUGUGAAGACACAGCGAGAGGAGCGCUGUCUGCGACCCAGGAAGAAGGCCUUCACCAGACGCUGCGUCUGCCAGCACCUUGAUCUUGGACUCCAGCCUCCAGAACGAGCCAGAAAAGAAAAUAUGAAGAAAAUACCAAAGCCAAUGAGAUGAUAUGAAAACGACUUCAGAGCUGUGGCUGGUCAGAAGCAUUAAAAGGAAUCCAGGAUGUUGAUGGUGGAGAAUUCAAUCUACCCAAAUCAGGCAACAAAAGGAACAAAGGGAGAAUUCAGUAAGAACUCAGUCAGUAUAAAUCACAAAAUCCCUAUGAAGGAUAUAAGCCUGAAGUCCCUGGGUGACGCAGCAAUUGUAAAGGGACCUCGCAGGUCUACCGGCAGCACGGAUGGACUCUCUCAGGAAGCAGGGGAUUCUCAGGUCCUGCGACCUGGUCUGAAAUCUCAUAUUGUGGUCGCGGACACUGACCCAGGAAGCUCUGCUCACCCCAGUUGUAAACUGCUCCCUGUGCUUGGAUAAGUAUGGGGUAAUAUGGGCUGGUCUGGUGAGCGUGGACGAUCCUGAGAUCCCUGAUAGAAAUCAACUAACGCAUUUGAAUUAUUGUUAGUGUUCCCACUUUCCAUCUCAAAAAUGUCCCAGUUUAGAAAAUAAAUUUUAUGGUAACCAUAGGUAAUUACUGUACAACCUUAGAAAAGUUUAGAAUUAAAUAUAGAAAUGAAAUAAAACAAGCAUAGUCUUAAUACCUUUGUGUUAAGUUUGGGGUAAAGCUCUGUAUUUUGUAUUUAAACUUUGUAAAGUAUAUAAAAAUACAUAGAAUUUCACAGAUUAUUCUUGUAAUUCUAAUUUAAUGUGCAAUUGAUUUUGACUUUUUUCAUUUUUGAGGAAGAUUAGCCCUGAGCUAACAUCCACUGCAAAUCCUCUUCUUUUUGCUAAGGAAGACUGGCCCUGACUUAACAUUCAUGCCCACCUUCCGCUACUGUACAUGUGGACCCCCGGCCACAGAAGAGUUUGAUAAGCACUGUGUAGGUCUGUGUGAUCUGAACCUGCAAACCUGGGCCACCAAAGCAGAGGGCGAGAACCCCACUGCCAUGCCACCAGGCCGGCCUCUGAUUUUGAUUUUAAGCCAAAAGGCAAAGAUGAUUUGACAAUAAUAAGUUUUUAGACAAUAUCAGAUUUUAUAUUUUGUAUAGCCAUUUAAUCAAUCAACAUUCCUUUUCAUUGGAUGUUCAUGUCAUUUCUAGUUGUUUUAUAUAAACAAUUGUUUAAAUAUAGUUUUUUUCCUAAAGAUAAUUUUUCUAGAAGUAGAGAUAGGGAAUCAAAAGGAGUAGACAUUUUGUGUUGAGCCAGGUUGUAAGAAGUUACUACCACCUUGCACUCUCUGGGAGGAAAAUGAAGUUGUCCAUUUCCUACACAUUCACCAAUAACAAGUAUUAUAUUUACAAAUAUAUAAUCUAUUUUGUGGUUAAUGUGCAUUUAUCUGACUACUCAUACGUUUAAGCUUUUUCCUAUAUGCAUGUUGGCCAUUCAUAUUUCAGUGUUUUGACUUGAUCCAUAUUCUAAAUUGAAAACAUGUUAAAUAGAUAGAUACAUGUAUAAAUACUUUUCCUCUAAACCCCAAUUUUAAACCCUGAUUCUACAGAAAUAUAUAUGUACAUAUAUACGUACGAGAUGAUGAGGUUAGAAUUUUAAUCGGUUGCAGUUACUGCCUAUUGCCACUGGUUGGGGGUCGAGAGCCACAUAGUCUGAGCCCCACUCUUGAGCUGAGAUCCCAGGCAGUGGAGCCACACUGGGCAGGUGGGGGGAGGGGCGCUUUCUCUUGGGUGCACUAUGGGCUUUCUUGCUCUGCUCCUACUAUCUGGUCUCCUGGGCUGGGGUGUUGGCUUGAUGAGGUCACUGCCCGCCCCCGCCCCCGCCCCACCUCAUGAAAGCUUUCCCCGUUAGAGGGCUUCCCUCCAGGCUGUAACGGCCCUAGGAAGUCUCUGGUGAUCCUGCAAAUGUGCAACCCCCUCUCCCAUUCCUUCCCUCAGAGAACCUCACAGUCUUCAGGGGAGGGAGCAAAGUUCUCUCUUACCCCGUUCCAGCUCCUCCGAGGGUGGGGCGGGGUCCAGCCUCUCUGCCCUCUGUCAUGUGGGUGCAAGAGGAUUUUGUGUUGUGAGGGUGUCCUCUGUUGGAGUAUGGAUGCCUCUUUUUGUUGUAUGUUGGAGGGGAGAGAGUCCCGGGCAAGUGCACUCCACCAUGAUGCUGACGUCCUUGAUGGGGCUAGAAUUUUACCUUUGAACAGUCAAAUUCCUUGGUGUAUCUAUCUUAAAAUGGUGAAAUCUGACUUUGUAUCUACUUGAAAAACCUGGAUGUUCUCUGAUGUUUCUUAAUUUUUUUCAUAAAGCCAUAUACUUCAGACUAGUAGAUUUACAACCCAGGCAUGAGGAGCUGGACAAGUAGGACUUGGGGAGGAGGUCAUAAUCAGAGGAAAGGGUGCCGUAUAUAUUCCUGUGUCUGUCUUAGUGUCAUUGACUCCAAGGGAAAGGAGAUUUUUGUAGGUUCAGGAUGAGCAGAUCUAAGCAAUAAACUAACGGCUGAUUCUCUUGAUCACUUUACUUUAGAUAUGGUCAUUUACAAUUCAAACGACAGGACUCUACAGUUUUCAUAAAACAUUUGCUGAGUGAUUUACAUCAAUAUUUCAUUUCCUAUCAUGAGAGUUGAUUGCCUUUUUUGUUGGUACCACCCUGGGGCUGUUGCACUAAGUUGGUGGAGUGCUCUGAUUUUUCAGUGAUUAUUUUUGAUAUUUUUGAUACUUUACUAUUUUUGAUAACAUUUAUCAGAUAAUCAGACUUCCUAAGAAAUAACCUCAAGUAGGGUUAUCAAUGAUCUGUAUUCUGCUUUGGACGAAUUUAAAGGAUGCCGUAUGAGCCUUUGUGAUUAGCUGGUUAUAAAUUAAGAGAUAGCUCAAUGAUUCUUGCAACUAUUGAUGGUGCAAAAGUAGUAAUUUUUCUGAUAGGAUGGAUAUAUAGAGUUAGGAAAUCUGUGCUUAUAAAAGCAGGUGUUAUGACUGAAGUCCUUGCAUUUCCUUUCUGGCCUGAUAAUAGUAAAACUGUGGGUCAAAAAAAGAUGUCUUGAUUUGAUUGCUAUGUCUCUGAGUAAAAGAGAUAGUUCUUUCCAUAUAUAAAUAAUUUUAUUUAAAAAAAUAUUUGUGUUCUUGGAAAUGUUUUGUUUAUAGGCUUUGUAAAUUUGUCCUGUAAUGAAUUUGAAAUGCUUAAAAAUGAAAGAAAAUGUUAAAUUUUUGAAAAAUGUUUAAAAUAUCUCAGUAAAUAUAAUUAUAAAAAAGGACUGAGGGCAAUUAUUCUGUUCAAUAUAGAAAUGUUCAUCCAAUAACCACUGAAAAAGUGAUGAUAUUUAUCAUUGUACUAAAUUUAGAAAUAGAAUAACAAAAUUUGUAAGUUGGGCAUAACUACUUAAGAAAGACUUAUUUUUGAUUUUGCGACCUUAAGAAAUUGAACGUUAAUUUUAAAACCAUAUAGCUUUUAAACACUUCUUUAUACGUACAGAGCCCUCCACUCCAGCAUAUUAAACAUAAAAACAAAAAACUCACAUUGAUUAUUCCAUGAAGAACAGAAAAUGCGGCCAGAUUGAAGAGCAUGAGGAACAGUCUAGAGGUGAGGAAAAGAGAGAACAGACACCUCCUUCAUGAAGUUUGGAUGAAAAAGGAGGAGACCUUGGGACAUGAUAAGAAGAGGGUAGAAAGUCAAUGGUUGUUUUUCCCCCUUCCAGUUAAUGGUGGGAGAGUUUUGAAUGUGUUUCUCAGCAGAGGGGAAAAAGUUCACACUGAAGAACAACUGGAAGAUUCUAAUACAGACGGAUGGCUAAGGAGGCAGGAUCCCAGAGAAUCCCGGAGGGACGGGAUUGGAAGUCCUGGCAGGAGCAUUGUCCUGUGUCAGAGGACAGAGACAUGAGUCUGCAAGAAAGGAGGUAAGAAAAGCAGGCAAGAAGGGGUUUGUGAGCACGUGACUGAGGCCCGCACUGAGAACCAGUGGGGUGCAUUCACAGAGCUGCCCUUCUCAGACUAUGAUCAGAGCGCUGGCUAGCAGUUGGUUCACCAGGAAGCUCAACGUAUCCUACAGAUUAUUGGCCAUUGUGGUAGGUUGAAAUUUUGGUUUCAAUUCUUCAUUCUCCCGUGAGAGAUUCAUGUCGUUUCCUC
Molecule: long non-coding RNA, 4306 nt
Organism: Equus caballus (horse)
Lineage: Eukaryota; Metazoa; Chordata; Mammalia; Perissodactyla; Equidae
Source: Ensembl